GGAAGCUGUAGCUCAAUGGGAAAGCGCUUGCCUAGCAUGUGUGAGGUACUGGGUUCAACACUCAGCACCA
RNAcentral lists this transfer RNA (70 nucleotides) under Marmota monax (woodchuck). Its description in RNAcentral is "tRNA.Ala". Lineage: Eukaryota; Metazoa; Chordata; Mammalia; Rodentia; Sciuridae. The record is from RNAcentral.